CGGAGAGGAACGAUCUAACGGCGACGAUUGAGAGGAGUAGGAAACGUAUUGUGAAGCAUGACGUAGGUUGAGUCGCGCUCCUCGCUUUUUCGGUAUUUGUUAAUUGUAAAUGUUUGUUUUGUGAGAGAAAAAAAAAGGAAAUCUGAGUUAACGAAACCGCCAAGUCAGCAUAUAACGACAAAACAAAGGUUCGCUCAACGGUAUCGUGACCGUUGGCGAAAUAGGCCUUAAAAACUGGUGUGGGCUUUCUAAUGAUAUAAGUUUAUUGGGCUUUAACAUUCUUUUAUCUUAAAUGGUGGCACCAGCCAUUCAGCGACAUCCUCACGUGCGUUGUCGGUGACGUGGAUGGAAGAGGGUACGCAGUACGUUGCCUUUUAGAUGGUAGCGAGAGAACGCUCAGACUGAACCAAAGUUUUGCCUUGAGGGCAUAUAAGACAAAUACACAUACCUUGGAGAAGAAGAAGAAAACUCACCUGAGCAUGGCGUUAUGCCCUUCCCCUCUCCCUCUCCGCCUCGCCGUCCCCCAGGCCCCUCCGGCGCCGCCGCGCUGGCCUCCCGCGCCGCCGUGCGCUCCUGCCUCUCCCCCCCCCCGACCUCCCUCCCGCAACGUCCCGAUGAUGUUUCCAAGACAAAAGCUGUACGACAAGCUUAAGAAACCCCCUUCCUUCAUAUCCUUCCCACUAAAGUCCAAGUUUCCAAGUCUUUCCAAGAAGGUCAGUCCAAAUGAUAGGAUCACGCCUAUACUUGCACGAACUACAUUCUGGCCCUGAUCUUAGCUCUUUGUUCUCUGUUCUGAUCUUAGCUUUUUGUUCUCUGUUCUGUUCUUAGCUUUUUGUUCUCUGUUUUCCAGUUUGUAAGAAAAGAAAAAAACUGUAAUAAAAAGCUGUUUUAUAAAAAAAAAAAAAAAUCAUACUGUUUGCCGGAGGUUUGAACGCCGGAGAUUACCCAACUUCCGCUUAAACUUAAAAUUAAGAGUUUAUUAUAUAAAAAAUAUUAAUUAAUUUUUUUUAAACCCCAUAAGCGCCGUCAAAUCGGAGGAGGGGUGGUUAGUCGUCAUAUUAAAUCGGAGGAGGGGUGACAUCUUAAAGCUUGCUCUUUCUUUACAUAUUAAUAAGGUCCAUUUCAAACCCUAGAAGCGCCGUCAAAUCGGAGGAGGGGUGGUUCGUCGCCGUGAGAGCCCUCUCCUCCUCCUCUCUUUAAAUCUCGCCUUUUCCAAAUCUGGGUCAGAUUUGUUUCGUGUCCCUUCCUCCGCUGUUCUUCAUGGCCUGAUUAUUAAAUUAGAGAAUGUGUUUGUGCAAAGUAGAUUAUUAAUCUUCCAUUGAUUACACGUACGGCCAGUCAUACUUCGAAAGAUUUGAAUACUCUUCCUUUUAACUGAGAAGAUGAGUGAAUGUAAAGCAAGCUUAGCCAAGCCUUGUGUUGGCAAAAUGAAUGGACCAUUACCAAGCUCUGUUGCUUUGAAUCCCACUGAUCCUAGCGUUGGAGAAUCCGAGAAAGCUACCGUGGAAGUUGAAUAUAUUGAAUCCGAGAACUUGGAUAACGUAGACGAUGCUCAUUCAGUUCUCAAGGUAUUUUUUUCCUGUUUGUUACACUUAUGUGUUAUGGUUUCAUCAAAUCUCAUUUUCAUUAGUAUAACCCAUAGGUUUAUAACUGUGAUAUGAAGCUGUUACUGGUCUCUCUAUGUAUUUAGAGAUUGGAAGUAUGAAUUUUUUUUUUUUAUGCAAGACGAAUCAUUUUGAUCUCAUUUUUUUCUUUCUUUCAGUCGGUUCUAGCUGGUCUGGACUCCGAAGGCUGAUGGAACUUUGAACGAAGCAGCUAUUCCCAAUGUCACAAAGGCCUUACGUACAGGUAAUAAUACUUUGCAAGAAGAUCUCUCAUUGAACUAGCGAAUCUGUUCAGAGCUAGAGGAGAAUCUUUGUUGAAUGCAUCUGUUUCUUGGCUUAUACAAAACCAUUUUGGUUACUUGUUUAGAUUCAAUCCAAUCUCUGUGUUCACUUUACUCUUAAUGCCUUUUAGCUCUUUCCUUAACUCCAAGUUUAGAUUUUAAUAGCACUGAAUAAAAGCAAAUAUCAAAUCUUGUUUCUUCUCUCAGGACAUCGAUGGAGUUUCCAACUUAAAGGUUCAAGUUUCUGAAGGUGUUGCUGUUGUUGAGGUAUGUUCACAUCCAACAUUCUCUUCAUACAUUGCCUUUACAUGCCCUAAGCACACACAAGGAUAGAUUUUGAAUAUGUAUAGAUUAGAUGUAUGGGGUUUUGUUUUACAUAUUAGUAGUGGUUAACCACGGGACUAGUCUUCAAGGCCGCAUAAGAAAGUUGGAUCGGGCCUGAACCUUGAAAAGUCAAGGGCUUUAUAAGAAUAGUUAUGUUAUAGCUAGACGAGGUAAACUGCCCCCCCCCCCCUUCUCAUCAUUCAUUUCCGUUUUUACCGACGACGUCAGCAGCCCAAGCUAGAAGUCCCGCCAUGUAUCUUCUUCUUCUUCUUCGUCUUCGUCUCUUUGAUCUGACAUAGACACGGACCGGACUCUCAGAGCUAAACCGAAGCGGUUGGUGACUAAACCGGUCUGGUUCGAUCGAACUCUCGGUUUCCCUAUCACUCUUUUCGAAGGCUUUGCGUAUUUAGUUAUUUACACGAAACUCAUGUUUCCGCUUUCCACUGGGCCUUUUUUAACACAUUGGGCUUAUAAUUACGACGUCCAUAUCAAACUAAUUGCUCUGGAGAAAACACUUGGAACAGUUAUAAUUAGGAGCGGACACUUCGGUUAUUUUAUCGGUUCGGUCUGGUUAAUACGGUUCUAUAAUUUUUUCCAACCAAAGUAAACUAUAAUAAAUUUGGUUUAGAACGGUUUCUGUUGGGUUGUAUUCGGUUUGGUUUGUUUUUCGAUUCGGUUCAAUCGUAUUCCCUUAAUUUAGUUCUUUAAGAAAAAAAUCAUGAUUUAAAACGUAAACGCAUGGUCAUAAAGUCAUUGUGCUGGUGACUAUGAAAAACAAUUAUGUUGACUAAAUUCAAUAUAAAACCAAAAAAAGCUUUCAAAGAACAAUACAUUUAUAAGAACACAACCAAAUCAAAUUUAACUACAGUAGAUAGUUUUUUCUCUAAAACAUCGUUAGUAAUGCCUUUUAAAAAUAAAUUAUUUAAAUUUAAUUUAAAACAAAAUUGAAACAAAAACCUUAACAAACCACAAAAAGUUUAUAAAAACACAUUCAAACCAAAGUUACUAAAGUAAAUAGAUUUUUUUCAAAAAAAACAACAACAUUGUUAAUAAAGUUAACAAUGACUUUAGUCUUUAGUCUUAGGAUUUUAGUAUAUUGUAUAUUACUAGUAUGCUUAAUUUAAUUAAUAACAGAAACGCAUUGGUUAUCGGUUCGGUUUAACUCGGUUUGGUUUCGGUUCAGUUGGUUCGGAUUGGGAAAAUCUUAAACCAAACUAUUUGAUAAUAUACUUUCGGUUCAGUUUGGAUCGGUUUUGGUCGGUUCACUUUGGUUUUUUUGCCCAUCAUAGUUGAUAUGUUUUUGUAUUGUAGAUAAAAAAUAUAUAUAUUAUUAUGCAGUUAAGUUUGAGUCAAUUUUACUAGUUUUGUGUUUUGCUACUUUAAGAAACUUUCUUAGAAGAACUAUGGGUGUGACUGGAUUUGUAUUUUAAUGGCCUACUAGAUAUUGACCCGCCCUCUAUAUGUUUUGUUUUAAAAAUAUUUGUCUAAUAUAAUUUAUUUAUUUGUGUGUUUGUAUAAUUAUAUUUUUGUAUGAUAUGAAUUUAAUAGAAUAGAUUAUUUUUGUAAGUAUAUUAAAUAAAUCAACUUUCAUAUGUACUUGUUUCUUUCCUUGUAUCAUAUAUGUAUUUUUUUUUGUAAUCAUAUUUAUGUUUUAUCUGUGAUCAUAUUAUAGAGUAAGAAUUUGGGUUCAAUUCCGACUAUUCAGAUAUUGGUCUUUAGAUGAGAGAUUAAAACCUAUUUGGAUAUUUAUAAAUUUUAGUUUGGAUUCAGUUUGGAUAAUUACGGGUUCAGUUUAAAUACAGAUACUCAUUAAAAUUAUGUAAAAAUAUUGAAAUACAAAUAUACCCGCCCUUAAAAUUAUGUAAAAAUAUUUUUGUUCUAUCAUUUUUCAAAAAUUUAAAUUUUAUAAUAACAUUUUUUUAAUGAUAUUAUAUUUAAAAUUAAUUUAAUUUAAUAUAUUUUUUGGUAGUUAAAUUAAUGUUAAACAUAAUAUGAUUACAAAAAAAAACACAAAUUUAAAAAUUAAAUUAAAAAAAAUUAAACACAUAAUAUGACCACCUAGACAUUUAUCUUAUCUCUAGGUGACAGUUUUAGGUUCGUGAGCCUUGAAGAAGUUAGAGGUUUUGAUUAGAAGCAAGAACAGGAAGUCUUAAUUAGGCUCUUGGUCUCCCCUAUUGAGAUAGUGGAAGGAUUGAUUAUGGUUUUAGGAGGAUUUACACAUUGUAACUAACUCUAGAGGAUGCUUUGAAGGAAAAUUAUAAGUUCAUUAAAAUUCUUAUGAUUUCUUAGUAGUUUCAAAAGGAUCUGAUUAUUUUUUUUAAUUGAAAUUAUAACUUGGCAUGGGACAGAGAAAUCUGUUUUCAUAAAUUUUCAUUUCCUUUCAUGUCUUAGGUGUUUUAUGAUUACAUCCAUCAUGUUAGAGAUGAUGGGGAGAUGCUUAUCUUAUCUACCCCUGGGACCAUUUUGACCAAUCUUUUCCACCCCUGUUUAUCAUGCUCUCAGUCCUUGAGAAAAGGAUAUUAGUCUAGUCUGUCCACCACUGUUAUUGGAGAACUCCACUUUCUUUUUAGAAAGGAACAAGAAAAAUCUUACUCUAAAUAGUAGUCUUCAUUUUACUCUCUUGAAAGCGUUAAUGGUGUUGGGAUAUUAAAAGGCAUAAGUGCAGAACUAGAGUUUUUCACUUGAUGAAACAGUGAAGUUUAUCUUUCUUGUUUAAAUGAGUUUGAUUUGAUUACUUGCUCCCUUAACAGGCUUUUCUUUGUUGUCAUGUUUGAUAUAUACUAUGGCCAUGAAGAUUGUUCUUUCUUGGUUUUGUAAUGAUUCUGAUGAACUAAUAGUCUUUUGUCUCUUUUGUUUUCUAGGUUGUUUCUUCUUGGUUUGGAUAAGUAUGGGAAGGGUGAUUUCUCGUAACUUUGUGGUAACAAGAACACCAACCCAAGUCGCAAGCCACGCUCAGAAGUACUUCAUUCGUCUAAACUCAAUGAACAAUCUUUACAUCUUGUUGGAUUAUUUGUUUUGUUGGAUAACUUGUCUGAGGAACCUAUAAGGCUAGAUAUUAAAUAUAAUUAGCAGUUUUGGUAAGACAAGUUAACACCGGUCUUAGAUCGUUGCUAAUAACAUUUACGAGCAAAAGCGAAAUCUAUUCAUCGGAAUGUUUAUCGAAUGGUAGGUACAUAAAGACUUGAGCAGCUUAAUCAUGGAAGAACCUCAGAUAAGCUUAGCUAUACGGCCCAUUCCAGAUGGCAAAAGGGCAUCCUUUGUUGCAAUGUCACUUCUUCUUUUUGAUGUCACUUGUCUUUCGUUAAUCAGCAUAUACCUUGGAAAGGUGAGCAAGUACAGCUCUUUAUUCUAAAAGAUAAGAGCAAGAUUCAUCAUUUGUGUUUAUGCGGAUGGCCCACUCAUAUAUAUAUAUAUGUAUAUUAUUAUAUACUAUAUACUAAAUAGCUUAUGGGAAUGCAUAUGCGAUGCUUCAGCCACUUCCAAUGCCAAUUGAGAAGGAGAAUAUAUAUUGCUGCAAAAGUGACUUGAGAAGGAGAAUAUAUUGCUGCAAAAGCUUAUGGGAAUGCAUAUACUAACUCUUAUAUUCUUUCCAUUCUUUCUUAAGCAAUAUAGACAUGCAGUUUAAAAGCCUCAACUUCCAUAUUCCCUUCACGCUAAUUUGUGACUUUUACUUUUUCACGUCAAUAUUUUUUUGUAGAGUCAUUAUAAGUUUAAAAGUGUUGGCAGUCAAAGUCCUAAACAAUCUUCACCUUCCCGCCGUCAGAAGUUUUUGGCGAUAAUCCCGAGCUAGCUAGGGUUUGGUUUCUGAGCUAUUUUUAUAAGUGUUAGGGACGUUGGAACUUUAUAUCAAAGCUUAAAGCGUGGUUUUGUUUGGUUGGUGAUUUCGUUUUGGUUAUGGUUUUGUGAGCGAGCAGGUCAGAAGACAUGGAAGAGAAGAAGAAUGCAGACGAUAGAAUCAUCAACGACAAUAUAUUGAUACCUCCUGCUGCCCCAGUACUAGGCCUUGGGCGUGGUGCUCCUCUUUUGAAACCCACUCCACGACGCCGUGUCAAUGGCAACGUGUCUCAGCACCCUACCACUACCACUGCAGAGAUCGAUGAGACCAGGGUCAAGUUUCUGAGGCUUUCACACAGAUUAGGGCAAACUCCACGUAACAACGUUGUUGUUGCUCAGUUUUUGUCUAGGGGAAGCAGCCGUGUUGGUGGUGCCGCCAUUUCCAUGGCGGAACAGCUUGAGGGACAGAAUCAUCCGCUUGAUUUUUCUUGUACGAUUAUGUUGCUCGGCAAAAGCGGUGUUGGCAAGAGUGCUACGAUUAAUUCUAUUUUCGAUGAUGAUCAUGCAGUGAAGAAGAUGUGUACCACCGAUGCAUUCCAGAUGGGGACGAAGAGGGUUCAGCUUGUUGAGGGUUUUGUUCAGGGAAUCAAAGUCCGGGCCAUCGACACUCCAGGCCUCUCACCAUCAUGGUUUGAUCAACACAAGAACGUGAAAACCCUCAAGUCUAUUAGGGCUUUCAUCAAAAAAAGUCCACCGGAUGUUGUAUUAUAUCUCGAUAGGUUGGAUACGCAAACGCAAAGCAGCAUAGAUGAGGAGAUGCUUCUUUUGCGCACCAUCACCCAGUUUCUUGGACCGUCGAUAUGGUUUAACGCCAUCGUGGGUUUGACUCACGCCGCUUCCGCUCCACCAGAUGGCGCUGCCUCUAGCUACGGCAUGUUUGUAACACAACGUUGUCUUGCCAUUCAGCAGGACAUUCGCCGAGCAGCUCGAGAUUUGCGGCUCGUGAGCCCUGUGUCUUUAGUUGAGAACCACCCUGCUUGCAGGACCAACCGGGCGGGUCAGAGAGUGUUACCGAAUGGUCAAGCGUGGAAGCCUCAUUUGCUGUUACUCUCGUUUGCAUCCAAGAUUCUAGCACAAGAAAAUGCAUAUGAUCGUAAUUAUAAUAGUCGACCAUUAGUUGUGGAAUCCACGGCUCAACCACUGUCACUUUUUCUCUCAUCUCUUCUGGAAUCACAUCAGCUUCCUCCUCCUUUUCUCUCAUCUCUUCUGGAAUCACAUGAGCUUCCUCCUCGUUGUAAGCGAUUGACUGAAGCUGAAAUUUCUAGGCUUAGUAAAUCUCAGAAGGAGCAGUAUCCUGUUGAGUUCCAGGCGGAACUAGAGAUGGAAGAGGAACGUCGACCUCAUAUUGAUCUCUCCAACCCGUCGCUACUUGUUACUCCAGUCCUGGUUGUUCCGAGGUGGGAUCAUGAUAUUGGCUAUGACGGUCUAAGUGCUAAAGGGACUUUGGUUAAAGAAAAGAUACAUAUGUCUUACUCGGGCAAAGUGACAAAGAACAACCUCAUGAAAAUGAAAGGUGCAGACGUGCAGCUGGAAAUGGCCAGCUUGGUUGUACAUGGAGAGGAGGGUAAUAGAUCAACCUCCGUAGGUUUCGAGAUGCAAAAAAAGACUUGGGAUGAAUUGUCUUGCGCUCUUCGAAGUGAUUCCAAUUUUAUGAAACACAAAGCUGCGGCUGGUCUAGCUAUAACGCUCUUGGGUGAUUCGGUGUCUGCCGGGGUGAAAGCAGAACGUAAGUUGGUUGCUAAUAAAAGGUUCGGAAUAGAUGUGUGUGGUGGUGGGGCAAUGACUUGUCGAGGUGAUGCGGCUUAUGGGGGUAGUUUAGAAGCUCACUUGCUUGGUAGUUUUUUUUUAUCUACUCUGGGACUUUCUGUGGUGGAUGGGCAUCGGGGUCUUGCUAUCGGAGGGAAUAUUCAGACCCAAGUGCACAUAGGACGUUCAUCUGAUCUAACUGCUCGUGCUAAUCUGGACAGCAGUGGGGCAGGGCAAGUAAGCAUCCGGGCAAACAUCUUUGAACUGCUCGAACAUGCUAUGGCCGUACUUGUUCCUCUAUUUAAGAAGCUACUUAGUUAUUAUUCCCCUAAUUAGCACCUAGUUGUUUUUGUUCAUGUCUUAUCUCUGGAUUUUGCAUUAAGCCUUGAUAAAAAUUUAUGUUGCAGUUUACUUAUUGACGUUAAAGACACCCAUCACCGUUGUUGGAAGAUAUUGAUAUCACUAUUUACUGUUUAUCAAUAUCUCAAUUUUUUGAUAACAAGAUUAUUACUGUUUACUGUUUAUCACACACACAGUAAGACACAACUAUUCAAUCUAAAGUCACUACUCUCACACACACCUUUUAGUACAACAUUUCAACUUAAUAACUAAAUAACAUACAACCAAAAGCUCAGUUACAAACUAACAACCCUCUGGGUAAGCCAUAUAAAUACAAAGCGGUGUCUCUUAACUUACUCCUUUUUUUUUUGCACUCUUCCGCACUUUUCCGUGUUCCGUUUAUAUAAAUAUAUAAUUAGUGACUGAUUGUUAAGGAUUUUGCUGUAUGUAGUUGAUAAUAUCCAUUGGGUUUGUCAAUGAUGGUCUUAUUUAGUCACCACUGUUAAGCUGAUGAAUUCUCUCAAAAGAUACGUUGAGUGUUAUAAAAUCCAUAUGAAUUUAGCCACCAGAGUGGCAUAAUACAUAUUCUUCUUGAGCCACAUAAAAUGGAUCUCACUCAUUCACCGAAGCCAGAAGUGUGACAAAGUUAUCAGACCACCAGAAAAUGUAGUCUUGUGUAGCACAAACUUAUAUACCAUGCAAGCAAAUCAAAGAUAUCUCCGGAUGCAUAUAAUGCUGGCAUAUCAUCAACAAAGAACUUGAAGGUAGUUGAGUUUCUACGAUUUAACCACAAAAUUUAACAAGUUUAAGAACUAGCGAAUAUCUAAGUGCCAAAUGAAUGUGAAUAUUAUUGUGAUGGAUUCGAGAUAUCAAGUGAAAGUGGAUAAAAGUGAUUGCCUUUUGCCAAAUGUCACUGCACUUUUUCCAUAGACAAUUUCUCAGAGCCAUGUAAAGUGGAGAAUCCGCACAAAACUUACAAUUACAAAGCUUUAUAUGGUCCCUGGACUCUUUUUCUCAAGAAAACAAGCACUUAUCCUUAAAUCUCAAAGAAAAUAAAGUAUUAGCAACCAUAUAAAUUGAUAAAUGAUAAAAACACAUAACCGAUAUAAUUAAUGUCAUCUCUCUAUCUCUGAAAUUGAGUCAGAAUUUUUUUAAAAAAAAAAUGCAAAUUACAUGCAAGGCCUCCUACACAUGUGAGAGAAGUUUCAAAACCACAGUAGACAAAAAUAUAUAAUAAGCAAACCACUUCUUUCUUGAACCGCAGGUGAAAAAAGGCUAAAACAUGAACGUAAAUAUUCUAAAGAUAUGGACUUGUAUGAAUUAAAUUUCUCUAGCCUUUUUCUUUUAAUGCUCUAGUGAGGCUUGCUGUGCACAAGUAUAUAAAAACCCUACAUGAUUGCAGGAACGAUAUUUUUGUAUUCUUGCUGAGCACCAGAGCUGGAGGACUUGGUAUCAACUUGACGGUUGCUGACACAAGUCAUUUUAUAUGAAAGAGAUUGGAAUCUCACCUUGGAUUUACAAGCAAUGGACAGAGCUCAUCGUCUAGGUCAAACAAAAGAUUGAACAAGCAUCUGCCAGUGGCAAUGUGAUUAUCAUCCUGCACAGCGCAAGUCAGAAAAACAUAUAUAGUUCAAUCACAAUCAUGCAACGUCAGUACAGCCGCUACAGAUCCAAGGACGAUCUCAGCGCGUACUUCGCACGUCCCAAUCACAUUCGCGUCGUCGAGGAAACCAUGCAGAUAUGGGAAGACAUCAUGGCCGUUGAGACUGGAUCGCCGAUCAAGUAUCCGGAGUCUUGAAACCUCCUGUAGGAUCAGUUGCGAGAGUCACGUUACGUACUGAAGGUGAAAGAGAACGUCACGGACAGGUGAAGGAGAUUAUGGAAGUGGUUUAAGAAGAAGUAUCUUGCUCCAGUGAUUGAUGAGAUCCGUUUGGGAGAAAACUUCUCUCCGGUGAGAGCAAAGGGUUUCUCGAUUGCAUCGGUUGCGUAUUUUAAAGAUCUUGGAAACGUUGAGGUGCCAAUAUUUAGUGUCCAAUAUAGGGUUUGGUCGAUUGAUGCCAACUUUUUAAAUAGUAAUGUAAUUGAAAAAUAUAUUUGUCUUACAGCAAACAUUUCACAAAGCCAGAUGCAAGAACAUCGGUGUAGGAAGAAAAAAGGCAUGCGGUUUUGAAUCAAUACGAGACCACUAGCCGGAAACGCAACAAUAUCAAGACCUAGACAAUAGGGAACAAAACUGAAAUAUUGCAAGAGUCACAAAAGAAGUAGUGAUCAAGCUACUCGGGAACUCCAUUCGUCUGAAAAAGUUGGGUAUCCUAGAGGAGAAGGGCACAUGAUCUAGAUGUCGAAGUCCAUAUGUCCUCAUCAUGUCCGGAACAGAAUCCAAACGUCCAAGUGGGACCAAAUCUUCAACAAAAGGAGAUAUCACACAAAUAUCUCUAUGAACGCAGCGAACUACAUCUGUCUCUGGGUAAUAUUUGAACAACCUCUUGCAGUUGUCAUGGAAAAAAAGAUUUCCUUGCUUAGAAACCGCCACUGGCCUAGCCCAAAACCAUAAAGGGAAAACGCCGUCGUAACGGUGCUCGGAAGGGAAUAAACGUAUGGUAUAAAUCACACUCCAUGCUUCUUCUUGUGGUGCAUGCAAGCACCAUAUCUUCACAUUCCAAUGAUGAUUACUAAAAUAGGUUGCGGCUAAGGCCAGCCGGUUUUCAAGGUUUGCUACUUGGCAUGAAGUUCCUAGUGUUCCCUGCGGUAGUGUAAGGUGACGCCACUCUUCUGUGUGAAGAUUCAAAGCUAAAAGUUUGUGCCGAGGAAUUACUUCUACCCAGUAGAUGGACCCAUUCACACAUGUCGACUUCCUUUUAAACCCUAAAACAUAAGGAGGUGGCCUCAGUCUCCUCCAUCUCCCAAUGUUAACAUCAAGAAUCUCGCAACGACGACAAAUCUCCAAAUCAUCGUUAAAACAUAUCCUCACUAUCUUAUAUCUCUCAGUGAUAUUGUCUUUACCGAAUCCCAUCCUCCAACAUCUAGGGAAGAUCUCAAAUCGAGGAUCAAAAUCACGCGAUAUCAUUGUCUCUGGACCGGAAGAGAAUCUAAGAAACACUCCAGUGGAAGGGUUGAAAACUUUGACCCAACCAGGUACGGGGAUGCAGACAAGACUGUCACAUGACAGCGACGGCCGUGAGGCGGUGACAUUGCUGUGUAAGUAGACCAUCUCUACCUCUUCGUCCCUGUGUAAUUCAUGUUGGAUUAGGUUUCGGUCUACUGCCACUAUGAUUUUCAGUUUCGUUUGAAUAUUCACCAUACGACGCCUACGCUCUGCGAACCUCUUCGACUCAAGUAUUGAUCUCCAUUGUUUUGAGACGGUUUUGAAUUCUAGGAUGGAUUUCAAUGGCAGACCAAGGAAGAUCUCUUCUAGUACCUCCGGAACUAGGUACAUGGGACUAGGGUUUAUGUUGGAAUUUGUGAUAAAAACAAAAGUAUUGAAUUUGCUCUAAGAAUACGAACAGUGAGAAAGAGUCUGAAUAAAUCGUUAUUGGAUUCAGUUACAAAAUAAAAUAAAAUAAUCGUUAUUGGAUUUAAAGAGCUUACAUAUAUGUCUAGUAAAUCUUUAAACUUUAAAAAACAGAAUGUCAACUAAUGGAAUGAUAGAAGUUAUGGAAUAAAAUUAAUGGAAUGAAAUCAUUGCAGAGAAAUAUUUUUGUAGCACAAAUGGUAACCUUUCAGAGGAAUUAAAUGGAAUGAAAGUUACUUUUAAUUUAAAUUAUUAAGAAUAUGUUAAACUAUACCAAUAAAACUGUUCAAGUGUUUUCUCAAGAGCAAUUAGUUUGAUAUGGACGUCGUAAUUAUAAGCCCAAUGUGUUAAAAAAGGCCCAGUGGAAAGCG
Molecule: RNA transcript, 12010 nt
Organism: Brassica rapa (field mustard)
Lineage: Eukaryota; Viridiplantae; Streptophyta; Magnoliopsida; Brassicales; Brassicaceae
Gene name: translocase of chloroplast 120, chloroplastic
Source: RefSeq, a predicted model, not a curated record